Molecule: long non-coding RNA, 4516 nt
Organism: Mastomys coucha (southern multimammate mouse)
Lineage: Eukaryota; Metazoa; Chordata; Mammalia; Rodentia; Muridae
Exons: 4
Source: RefSeq, a predicted model, not a curated record
AGAUGGCUGAGCAGUCACAACUCCCAUCUAAUUUUUUAUCCUCCCAUGUGGGCUCCUCCAAAGAAGUAAAGUAGAAAAAUUGCCACAAACAUUUUGUGAAGCCAGCAUUACCCUCCUUCCAACUAGUCAGAAGUCUACAAGAAAAUAAAACUGCAGGCCAAAUUAUUUCAUAUUGCAAAAUGAAUGCAAAACCCCUUAGAAAACACUUGGAAACCAAAUUCAACAGGAUGUUGGAGGAAUCACACAGCUAUAUCAGGUGGGAGAUGCAUCUCAAGUGCCAAUAUGAUUAAAUAUUAAUCAAUGUGAUACACAGCAUUCUGAAAAUAAAUGACACAAAUCAUCAUAUGAUCGCUUUGGUAGGUCUAUGAAGGCAUUAUGAAACUUCCACACCCCUUUAAUGAUAAUAACUGUCAACAAAGUAGGUAAAGAAGGGAUGUAUCACCACAGGAAGAAAGCCAUAAAUGCCAACCCAUGGCCUGUGUUGUAAUUCAGAGUAAAAAGCUGGAUGCCUGAACAGAAGGAUGCCCCACUUUUGCAAUGGGGCAUAAGAAAGCAAGAAAAAGCAUCAAAGAUGGACAGGAAGAAGUUAAACUGUCUGUACAGGUCCCUGAGCCCUGGAGGACUGGGAUAGAGACAUCCAGUUGAGGACUGAGUACCAGAAGUCCACAAUCCUUUGUCAUUAAUCUACAGAAUGCUAAAGAAGAAAAGCUUUCUGUAGACAGCAGUGAAAGCUCCUUGAUGUAACAUGAGGUUAUUCACCCUGCCACACGUGAUAGGAUGAGAAAAUUCACAUCCCGCACUACAGAAAUCAUCCAACCUACAAUUCUCAGGAUGCACAUGGAGUGGGUCUGUUAGGUAAUAGACAAGUUAUGUACCCUUUUAAUCUGAAUUAGCAAUACUAUCUGACCCCAUGGUUUCUGGCAAGAAACUGUCUAGAGGAAAGUUUCCCUUUGCACUUUCCUCUUUCUAAAGGUAGCUGAUGAGCUCAACAUAUAAGAAUGACCACCCAGUGCAUGAAGGACAUCUCUGUGUUUGGGGGUGAGGAGUAGAUUCAGUUAUUUAAGCUGACUGUGCAGUAAGAUGUGUACAUACACACACACACACACACACACACACACACACACACACAGUCUCCUUGAGAGAGAUUAUUAAAGACCAGCCAUCAAGAGAUUCUGAAACUUGUAUUUCUGUUAAGUUUUUGGACAGAUACUUACCUCAAAGCACCCUACAUUUCCCUUUCUUUCCUUCUUUCUUUCUUUCUUUCUUUCUUUUCUUUUCUUUCUUUUUUUUUUUUUUUUUUUUUUUUUUUUGAUUAUAAAAAUCAGUUUAUUGUAAAGGAAAUUCAAGAAUAACCAGUUACAUUCUUAUCUGCAUACUACCCACUACAACCAGGAAUCAUUAAACACUAUUGGACACAACAAGUAAGACUACGUUGAGGCCAUGAUUCAAAUUUAGUGAGGGUGCUCAAAUCUCCCACAGCCAGCAUGGAGGGUUUGAUAAGAUCAGAGAGCACCAUCAGGCACCGGGGGCUGCUGGACAUUGAGGUGUAACCAGGCACACCAUGGUGAGAGAGAAGGAAGGAAUACAGAUCGAUUCUUAGCCCUUUCAAAGUGCUAGAGAGACUGACUAGAAAGGUCUUACCUUCAACACAAGAAGGCUGUGCCCGAGUUGUGCCAGCCACCUGGCCUGGGAAACAGGAACAUUUGACUGUCUGAGAGCGCUCCUCUAUGCGGUUCUUAUUGCAGCAGCGGUGCACGGCAACGACCUCACAAGUACCUUGCUUGAUCAGGUGGUGACCUGGGAGGUCAUGAGAGAGCACACAGACCAGGUGCUGUUAGAGUGGAGCAGAAUGACCAAGAACUUAGUGACACUGUAAUUACUGUAUUGUUCUCACCUGCACUGCUGUUCCCGCCCAAUGUGUUAUGCUUAUGUAUCUUGAUAAUGUUUCCAUUUGAUGAUAUUUCCAAGUAAUAUACAAUUAGUAAGAAAAGAGAUGGAUCCUCCAGAAUAUCAGCUCCAAAAUUCUUGUGGUUAUUUUACACUCAUGGCAUGGCCCUAGAAAUGUUGCUGAAAUUAAGAUUACUGAUUGGUUGAUUUGAGAGGAGCAUAUCCUAGCUUAUGUAGAUAGAAACAAUAGAAUCUCAUGAGCCCUUAAAAGCUGAAAGACAGAAAGCCUACCUGGGGUUAAGGACUGUUGUUAGCUUACAGAUGGAGGUAGCAACGUGUGGAUGAACUAGAGGCAUGCAUCUUAUCAAACAUAAAUUCAACCGAGAACCUGAAGGAAUCUGAAGCCAAUUUGUCCCUACAGGUUCCAUAAAGGACUACAACCCUGCUCACAUCUUGACUGUUGACUUCUCAGUCAUGAGACCCUUGGGAGAUAAUCAGCCAAGUCCAGACUUCUCACCCUUUAGGAUGAGAUACUGAUUUGAGGGCAGCAAUAGGAAACUACCCAUUCACUCCGAUUUACCAGUUUACAUCUGACCACAUUUGAGACAUUGUCCAUGACCUGUCUCACGGAUACUCAUUUACGCUUCAAGACAUCAGUGCAUAUUUUCUAAAAACAGACAUCCUUCUACAAUUGGUCAGAUUACCUUCUGAUUAAUGCCGUCAUUCAAUAUCUAUACGUGUAGAUAAUCCCAGCUGUGCCCUAGAUCUCCCCCACCCAGAUUCUACUAAGGAAGUAUGCCUCACAUUCGCUUUUUACCUGCCAUUAGCUCCCUUUAAUCAGAACCUGGUCCUCAAACAAUCUUUCUUGACCUUAACAUUAUUAAAAGAACACAUGGCAACCACUGUAUAAAGUUCUUCCCCUUGGGUUUGUUGUUGUUGUUUUGUGUGUGUGUGUGUGUGUGUGUGUGUGUGUGUGUAUGUGUGUGUGAUUCUUCCCCUUGAUAAGAUUCAGGUAAUUCCUUUUUAGCCAAGAAUUCUGGCAGCAACUUUGUAUUCUCCUACAAGGAAUCACAUGAUGCCCUUUAUUCCAUUCUUGCAAUGUUAGCUUUAAUCACCUGGUAUCUCUCCAGCUUCUUUGUUGUAAAAUACUAUUUUCUCUAAUAACUUAAUAUAUAUUUUGAGAAGAGAAAUAUUGAAACUACAUACAUCUUAUUGUCAACACCAAUCCUCUAAUUUUAGAACCCAUUGAUGAUUUAUACCUGAAUCAAUCAUUAAUUUGAUAGUUAUAAGACUGACUCACAGUAUUCAAAUUGCUCUGGAUCUGCACAGAAGGACACCCUUCACUCUUGACUGCUGUGUUGUUUUGACAUGGAUUUCUAUUUUCUUAAACAAUUUACUAAGCUUAUGGCUCACAAGUACAUUCUAGGCAUACCAUUCUUCCCAGCUCUCCCCAUUUCUCUAGCCUUGAUGACUUUUAAGAACUGGUCAAACUUAGAAGACGUGAUAUUCAUAUGUAGGCUUUGUCAUUACUCCACUGGAAUGAUCUGGACUCUGUUAGUGCACAUAAGUGCAUAGACAUAGCAUGAGUCUAUGUAGAAAUCAAGUUCUAGUCAAGUGUCUGACACAAGUUCAUGCUACUCCCUCCUAUUCUUAUCUCUCCAUUACUAACAAUAAUGACAAACCUUACUCUCUUAGUCCAUAGAUACCAGAAUAGAAUGAAUACCAGGCUUGUUUUCAUCACCAGUAGUAUGCAGCAGAAACAGUACCAGGGUAUGUCAAAGGUAAAAAAGCUGCCAUUCCUGGUGAUCACAUCCCUCACUUGGGGAUAACAGUGGUGUAAGCAAAUAAAUUCUAUGGCCAAGAUCUCUGUAGAUGAGCUUACAAAGCUGUUCUAGUCACCCUACUCUGAAGGAGCUUGUAUGUGUGACUAUGGUACAGCAUACAGACCUAAAGAUUGUCAUUAAUUUUUUUCUGAUGAAAUAGAUGUAACUGAACUUGGAAAUAUUACAGCCUGAUCACCAAAUGCAACCACACUUAAGAUUAGGGAUUCGACACAGAUACUGGGCAAGGGCAUCAGCAUUCCAACCACCAAAAAAAAAAAAAAUAGUAAACAUGACUAGAUUAUUAAAUGAUCCUAGAGAGUCUGUAAUGAAGGCAACUCUAUGCUUCAUUUAGAAGCUGAAAGAAAUAUGCUUUAAUAACUUCUUAGAAAAGUUAACAAGUAAUUUUGUCCCUUAGUAAUAACAUAGUCUGUUUGGUGCUCUGUUGCUGUUUGGAUAACUAUACACAAAUACAAAUGCAUUAUCUUCUAGUCAAAUUUAGAAUUGUUCCAGGCCUCCCAGAAUGGUCAUUUACCCUGACUCAAGCUUACAUUUACUUAUGCAAACCAAUCUAUUGUGCUUCCUUGAUGUUUAGACUCACUAUAUUAUCUUCUAACCUAAAAGAAAAUAGCACAGCAAAUAACAUCCUACAAUAAUAAUUGACACUAUUUAAAAUCCUUAGGAGUACCCAUAUCAGACUGUGUCUGAGAAUUCGAUGGCAUCUCAGAUCUGAUUAAGUAUGGCAGGCACUGUUGUAAAUAUUUUACAAAUAUCCUGUGUGAUCUAAUAAAAAUGCUGUGAGAUAGGAA